Molecule: ribosomal RNA, 1886 nt
Filed under: Escherichia coli
Lineage: Bacteria; Pseudomonadati; Pseudomonadota; Gammaproteobacteria; Enterobacterales; Enterobacteriaceae
Description: partial 23S ribosomal RNA
Rfam family: Bacterial large subunit ribosomal RNA
Source: RNAcentral
GCGAUACAGGGUGACAGCCCCGUACACAAAAAUGCACAUAUUGUGAGCUCGAUGAGUAGGGCGGGACACGUGGUAUCCUGUCUGAAUAUGGGGGGACCAUCCUCCAAGGCUAAAUACUCCUGACUGACCGAUAGUGAACCAGUACCGUGAGGGAAAGGCGAAAAGAACCCCGGCGAGGGGAGUGAAAAAGAACCUGAAACCGUGUACGUACAAGCAGUGGGAGCACGCUUAGGCGUGUGACUGCGUACCUUUUGUAUAAUGGGUCAGCGACUUAUAUUCUGUAGCAAGGUUAACCGAAUAGGGGAGCCGAAGGGAAACCGAGUCUUAACUGGGCGUUAAGUUGCAGGGUAUAGACCCGAAACCCGGUGAUCUAGCCAUGGGCAGGUUGAAGGUUGGGUAACACUAACUGGAGGACCGAACCGACUAAUGUUGAAAAAUUAGCGGAUGACUUGUGGCUGGGGGUGAAAGGCCAAUCAAACCGGGAGAUAGCUGGUUCUCCCCGAAAGCUAUUUAGGUAGCGCCUCGUGAAUUCAUCUCCGGGGGUAGAGCACUGUUUCGGCAAGGGGGUCAUCCCGACUUACCAACCCGAUGCAAACUGCGAAUACCGGAGAAUGUUAUCACGGGAGACACACGGCGGGUGCUAACGUCCGUCGUGAAGAGGGAAACAACCCAGACCGCCAGCUAAGGUCCCAAAGUCAUGGUUAAGUGGGAAACGAUGUGGGAAGGCCCAGACAGCCAGGAUGUUGGCUUAGAAGCAGCCAUCAUUUAAAGAAAGCGUAAUAGCUCACUGGUCGAGUCGGCCUGCGCGGAAGAUGUAACGGGGCUAAACCAUGCACCGAAGCUGCGGCAGCGACGCUUAUGCGUUGUUGGGUAGGGGAGCGUUCUGUAAGCCUGUGAAGGUGUGCUGUGAGGCAUGCUGGAGGUAUCAGAAGUGCGAAUGCUGACAUAAGUAACGAUAAAGCGGGUGAAAAGCCCGCUCGCCGGAAGACCAAGGGUUCCUGUCCAACGUUAAUCGGGGCAGGGUGAGUCGACCCCUAAGGCGAGGCCGAAAGGCGUAGUCGAUGGGAAACAGGUUAAUAUUCCUGUACUUGGUGUUACUGCGAAGGGGGGACGGAGAAGGCUAUGUUGGCCGGGCGACGGUUGUCCCGGUUUAAGCGUGUAGGCUGGUUUUCCAGGCAAAUCCGGAAAAUCAAGGCUGAGGCGUGAUGACGAGGCACUACGGUGCUGAAGCAACAAAUGCCCUGCUUCCAGGAAAAGCCUCUAAGCAUCAGGUAACAUCAAAUCGUACCCCAAACCGACACAGGUGGUCAGGUAGAGAAUACCAAGGCGCUUGAGAGAACUCGGGUGAAGGAACUAGGCAAAAUGGUGCCGUAACUUCGGGAGAAGGCACGCUGAUAUGUAGGUGAAGUCCCUUGCGGAUGGAGCUGAAAUCAGUCGAAGAUACCAGCUGGCUGCAACUGUUUAUUAAAAACACAGCACUGUGCAAACACGAAAGUGGACGUAUACGGUGUGACGCCUGCCCGGUGCCGGAAGGUUAAUUGAUGGGGUCAGCGCAAGCGAAGCUCUUGAUCGAAGCCCCGGUAAACGGCGGCCGUAACUAUAACGGUCCUAAGGUAGCGAAAUUCCUUGUCGGGUAAGUUCCGACCUGCACGAAUGGCGUAAUGAUGGCCAGGCUGUCUCCACCCGAGACUCAGUGAAAUUGAACUCGCUGUGAAGAUGCAGUGUACCCGCGGCAAGACGGAAAGACCCCGUGAACCUUUACUAUAGCUUGACACUGAACAUUGAGCCUUGAUGUGUAGGAUAGGUGGGAGGCUUUGAAGUGUGGACGCCAGUCUGCAUGGAGCCGACCUUGAAAUACCACCCUUUAAUGUUUGAUGUUCUAACGU